CCUACGGGCGGCUGCAGUGGGGAAUAUUGCACAAUGGGCGCAAGCCUGAUGCAGCCAUGCCGCGUGUGUGAAGAAGGCCUUCGGGUUGUAAAGCACUUUCAGCGGGGAGGAAGGCGGUGAGGUUAAUAAUCUCAUCGAUUGACGUUACCCGCAGAAGAAGCACCGGCUAACUCCGUGCCAGCAGCCGCGGUAAUACGGAGGGUGCAAGCGUUAAUCGGAAUUACUGGGCGUAAAGCGCACGCAGGCGGUCUGUCAAGUCGGAUGUGAAAUCCCCGGGCUCAACCUGGGAACUGCAUUCGAAACUGGCAGGCUAGAGUCUUGUAGAGGGGGGUAGAAUUCCAGGUGUAGCGGUGAAAUGCGUAGAGAUCUGGAGGAAUACCGGUGGCGAAGGCGGCCCCCUGGACAAAGACUGACGCUCAGGUGCGAAAGCGUGGGGAGCAAACAGGAUUAGAUACCCCAGUAGUC
RNAcentral lists this ribosomal RNA (465 nucleotides) under uncultured Klebsiella sp. Its description in RNAcentral is "bacterial SSU rRNA". It matches the Rfam family "Bacterial small subunit ribosomal RNA", at positions 338 to 795 of the family's 1533-position model. Lineage: Bacteria; Pseudomonadati; Pseudomonadota; Gammaproteobacteria; Enterobacterales; Enterobacteriaceae. The record is from RNAcentral.